CUGGCGCACGGGUGAGUAACACGUAUGCAACCUGGCCGUCACAGGUGGAUAACCGGAAGAAAUUCCGACUAAUACAGCAUAACACUCCUGAGGGACAUCCCUUGGGAGUCAAAGGAGGCAACUCCGGUGACGGAUGGGCAUGCGGCGCAUUAGGUAGUUGGUAGGGUAACGGCCUACCAAGCCGACGAUGCGUAGGGGUUCUGAGAGGAAGGUCCCCCACAUUGGAACUGAGACACGGUCCAAACUCCUACGGGAGGCAGCAG
Molecule: ribosomal RNA, 263 nt
Filed under: uncultured bacterium
Lineage: Bacteria
Description: partial 16S ribosomal RNA
Rfam family: Bacterial small subunit ribosomal RNA
Source: RNAcentral